AUUGAACGCUAGCGGGAUGCUUUACACAUGCAAGUCGAACGGCAGCGCGGACUUCGGUCUGGCGGCGAGUGGCGAACGGGUGAGUAAUGUAUCGGAACGUGCCCAGUAGCGGGGGAUAACUACGCGAAAGCGUAGCUAAUACCGCAUACGCCCUACGGGGGAAAGCAGGGGAUCGUAAGACCUUGCACUAUUGGAGCGGCCGAUAUCGGAGUAGCUAGUUGGUGAGGUAACGGCUCACCAAGGCGACGAUCCGUAGAUGGUUUGAGAGGACGACCAGCCACACUGGGACUGAGACACGGCCCAGACUCCUACGGGAGGCAGCAGUGGGGAAUGUUGGGCAAUGGGGGCAACCCUGAUCCAGCCAUCCCGCGUGUGCGAUGAAGGCCUUCGGGUUGUAAAGCACUUUUGGCAGGAAAGAAACGUCGCGGGCUAAUACCCCGUGGAACUGACGGUACCUGCAGAAUAAGCACCGGCUAACUACGUG
This 484-nucleotide ribosomal RNA is filed under the name uncultured bacterium. RNAcentral describes it as "partial 16S ribosomal RNA". It matches the Rfam family "Bacterial small subunit ribosomal RNA", at positions 29 to 507 of the family's 1533-position model. The record is from RNAcentral.